ACCUAGGGCGCGAGCCCGG
RNAcentral lists this small nuclear RNA (19 nucleotides) under Arabidopsis thaliana (thale cress). Its description in RNAcentral is "snRNA_13325". Lineage: Eukaryota; Viridiplantae; Streptophyta; Magnoliopsida; Brassicales; Brassicaceae. The record is from RNAcentral.